RNAcentral lists this ribosomal RNA (405 nucleotides) under Paenibacillus lautus. RNAcentral's name for it is "bacterial SSU rRNA". It matches the Rfam family "Bacterial small subunit ribosomal RNA", at positions 22 to 413 of the family's 1533-position model. Lineage: Bacteria; Bacillati; Bacillota; Bacilli; Caryophanales; Paenibacillaceae. The record is from RNAcentral.
GCUCAGGACGAACGCUGGCGGCGUGCCUAAUACAUGCAAGUCGAGCGGACUUGAUGGAGUGCUUGCACUCCUGAUGGUUAGCGGCGGACGGGUGAGUAACACGUAGGCAACCUGCCCUCAAGACUGGGAUAACUACCGGAAACGGUAGCUAAUACCGGAUAAUUUAUUUCACAGCAUUGUGGAAUAAUGAAAGACGGAGCAAUCUGUCACUUGGGGAUGGGCCUGCGGCGCAUUAGCUAGUUGGUGGGGUAAUGGCUCACCAAGGCGACGAUGCGUAGCCGACCUGAGAGGGUGAACGGCCACACUGGGACUGAGACACGGCCCAGACUCCUACGGGAGGCAGCAGUAGGGAAUCUUCCGCAAUGGGCGAAAGCCUGACGGAGCAACGCCGCGUGAGUGAUGAAG